Molecule: long non-coding RNA, 5370 nt
Organism: Oreochromis niloticus (Nile tilapia)
Lineage: Eukaryota; Metazoa; Chordata; Actinopteri; Cichliformes; Cichlidae
Exons: 3
Source: RefSeq, a predicted model, not a curated record
UGCUAUUACUAACGAUUAUGUGGACAUUGUUUCUGACUAGCAAAAUCUAUUAUUCAGGAAAGGACCUGUUGUAGGACCUGGACCUCUGAAGAUGUCAAAAUUGUCUUGCGCAACAAUCACUUGGGUAACCAUAAAGAUGCUUUAUCCAAUGACAAACGGGUGAAAGCGAGAAACAUGGAAAAAUUAAUCCUGAGCAAAUUUGGUGUAAUGAAAAAGGUUUUUCCAAAGCUUCUGAGCUGCAACCUCAAUUGUGGUUUCUCUAGACCAAGAUGGCACCGAGUAUGGCAGCCUUGUCACGAGCUCCCCCAAGCAACAGUUGCUUUUUGUGUUUGAUUUUACUUUUACCUUAUUUUUUCCACCAGUAACAUUAUGGUUUUUUUGUAUAUGACCACCAAACUUUACUGAACAUAAGAGCUAGACUCUCUCAUCGUUCUCUGGAGUUCAAGUUUGCAGACCCCCCCAUUCAUCUUGCCUUUGUGCUGGGCCCCUGGAGGCCGCAAACGCAGAAGCAGAAGAUCUGGUGUUCUCGUUCAACUGAUACGGCGCAGUCUCUGGGGAACAAGCUGUGUGAACUUCGGGCAUGGAUCUCAUUCCAGUAAGAGAUGUGGCACUGCUGCGUGAUGUGCCUCACAGAAACCUGGCUAUUCCACAAGGUACCGGACUCUGCCAUACAACUACCAGGGUUCUCUGUGCACUGCACAGACAGGUCACAGGCACUAAUUGGGAAAAGCAGAGGCAGUGGUAUAUGUUUCAUGCUCAACAACAGCUUGUGUGAUUAUGCGAACGUGCACCCGUACCUGAAGUGCCGGCCAUUCUGGCUACCGAGGGAUUUUACAGCAAUGAUCAUUACGGCUGUUUACAUUCCCCCACAAGCUGACACCGACCGAGUACUCAGGGAACUACAGCGCGAUCAGCAGUCAGAGAACCGCACACCCAAAGGCGGUUUUAUCACGACCGGUCCACUGUUGGUCCGACCAAUCAGAGUUCUUGCUGCAGGACUGUUUUGAUGGCUGCUGACGACAUUGAUGAGUACACAGACUCAGUCUGCGGAUUUAUAAAGAAAUGUGUGGAAGAUGUUGUCCCAUCCAGAACAGUUAAGGUUUACCCAAAUCAAAAACUGUUGAUUAACAGCAAUGUUCACACGGCACUGGCGGCACGGAACGCUGCUUUUGCCUCCGUGAACACAUCGGACUACAAACACGCACAUUGCCAAGUCAGUAAGACAAUUAAAACAGUGAAAUAUAAGUACAAGGACAGAGUGGAAUAACAAUUUGACAAUCCUCUGAGUAUGUGGCAGGGACUAAACACAAUCACAGACUUUAGAGGGAAAAUCAGCAGACCGCAGUCCAUGGCCUCUCUCUGUGAGGAUCUAAACGUAUUCUACGCUAGAUUCGACCCAGGAAACACAGCAAGACUGGACAGGGUACGCAUUGGGUAUGACAUCAGCGUGCACACUGUGUCUGUGGAGGAUGUGCGGAGGUGUUUCAGACAGGUGAAUACGCGCAAAGCUAGCAGUCCUCAAGUCUUCCGCGGCUCAGCUGGCUGGAGUGUUUACACACACCUUCAACCUUCCCCUCUCGCUGUCUGUAGUCCCAGCCUCCUUCAAAAUGGCUACCAUCGUCCCUGUACCCAAAUCCUCCACCAUCUCAUCACUGAAUGACUGGCGACUGGUAGCCCUGACCCCCAUCAUGAGCAAAUGCUUCAAGAGGCUGGUCAGGGACUUCAACUUCUCUGCACUACCCAAGUCACUGGACCCUCUGUAGCAUUCCGCUACAACAGGUCCACUGAUGACGCCAUAGCCCUAACACUACAUACUGCCCUCUCGCACCUGGAGAAGAGAGACACGUAUGUGAGAAUGCUGUUUGUAGAUUACAGCUCAGCAUUCAAUACCAUUGUUCCUUCGAAGCUGGACAGGAAACUGCAGAAUCUAUGACUGAGCAGCUCCCUCUGCAGCUGGAUCCUUAACUUCCUCUCUGACAGAUGCCAGUUGGUCAGAUUGGGCAGCAUCACCUCAUCAACUGUAAAAAUGAACACUGGUGCUCCACAGGGGUGUGUACUGAGCCCUCUCCUGUACUCACUCUACACCCAUGACUGCACGGCCACUAGCAACUCCAGCAUCACCGUGAAGUUUGCGGAUGACACAACAGUGGUGGGCCUUAUCACCAAAAGUGACGAGACAGCUUACAGGGAGGAGGUCAGUGCUCUGGCUCAUUGGUGUCAAGAGAACCAUCUCACCCUCAACGUCACGAAGACAAGGGAUUGAUAGUGGACUGGCGGAGGGGUAAAGAAGCACAUACCCCCAUCACCAUCAAUAGCAUUGCUGUGGAGCGAGUGAGCAGCUUCUGUUUCCUAGAUGUACGUCUGGCAGAGGAUCUGUCAGUACACACAAACAAAGCAGUGAAGAAGGCGCACCAGUGCCUCUUCCUCCUCACGAGACUAAAGAGAUUCGGCAUGAGCGCCCACAUCCUCCGGACUUUCUACCACUGUGCCGUUGAGAGCAUUCUCCCUGGAUGCAUCGCUACCUGGUAUGGCAACAGCACCACUUACAACCGCAAAACUGUUCAGAGAGUGGUGCGAUGUUCUGAGCGGAUAACUGGAGGUGAGCGUCUCUCCCUCCAGGGCAUCUACAGGAAGCGGUGCCUGAGGAAAGCGGGGGAGAUCAUCAAAGACUCCAGUCACCUCCGCCAUAAACUAUUUAAACUACUUCCAUCAGACAGGAAGUACUGUAGCAUCUGGUCCUGAACCUGCAGACUGAGCAACAGCUUUUUCCAUCAGGCCACCUGAUGGAACAGUGACACUUCAUAGACACCUCACUCUCACCUACCGGGAAUCCAACACUAUGCACUCCAUUUUGUACCUAUAUGCCAUUUCUUUUGCACAAUAUUCAACAGCUGACUUGGCUAUUUUUGACAUAAAAACAUACAUUUUUUUUUGUGCAUACAUCCUUAAAAUUGUACAUAUAUUUCUCACAACUCUCACAUUCCUGCUCUUAUAAUUGGCUUGUUUCUUACAUUCUUGUAUUUUGCACACCACUGUUGCUUGUGAGGCUUGCACAAAAGAAUCUCACUCACAUGCGCUGUACCAGUGUACUAGAAAUGUGAUGUGACAAUAAAAGUGAUUUGAUUUUGAUUUGACAGGUCAUCAACCCAUUAAAAAUAUUGCGCUAAUGUGUGCAGAUGGCAAUCUCCAAGCCUCACGUUCCCCAGACCUGAACACACUUGAAAAUCUCAGUGACUCUGUCCGUGAUGCCAACAAAUGGUGCACGUCCCUGAGUGCGCCUGUCAGAACACCAACUCCCAUUGCUGAGUACCACAAGCGAGCAACCUCAUCUGUGAGUGGGUUGAAGAGCUGAACGGGUCGGUCAGCCAUUACCUCUGUUCUGGAUUACAGUUAACACGUGGAGGUUACUGCGGGUAUUCAAAAAUGCUCCAAAAGCUUGAAAAAUUAUACAUUCUUGUGAAAACUGGGAAAAACUGGUUGUUUCUGACUGGCAAAAUCUGUCAUUCAGGAAAGGACCCGUUGUCCGUGUCUCCCAAAUGCUUACAGGGCUGUGAUGACAUUAAAGUUGUCUUGUGCAACAAUCAGUGGGGUUACUGUAAAGAUGCUUAGUUGAAAACGGGUGAAAGAAAGAAACAUGAAAAAUUUGUUCUGAGCCAACCUGGUGUAAUGAAAAAGUUUUUUCCAAGGCUUCUGACAGAAACUAGAUGGUAAAACUUUGCAUGUGAUCACAUAUUGAGACAAAUGUUUUUGAACAAUGUUUAUUUAUUUGUUAUCCAAUCUCUCAUUUCAGAUACAGAAAGUCUAGAGCAUGAAGUCAUAAAAGUGGACUUUGUAUGUAGUUGAAUCCCAGAAUUUCACAGGGCAAUAAGAAAGAAAUGGGUGUCCUGAGGACGUGGGCUGCCUCACAUGUCUUUAGGCCAAAUCACCAAUGUCCAACAUGGAGUCCCAGUGUGUCACCUUCAACCACCCAAGCAGGAGUCAGGAGUAAUCCACUGAAUGAACACAGUGAUGUUAUACAGUCAAAGAAUGGUGACCAAAACACAGCAGAAGGAAAAAUUAAACUCAACUCCCAAGAAACCACAGAAGGUGUGUCAAAUGUUCUGUUGACCCACUGAGAGAGGCAUCAUUUAAGAAACCCCACGAAGACUGAAGCUCAUCGCAGGGAUCAAGCAGGACUCAUGAUCUUCACCAGCAGCUCCCUUACAGGGAAAUUUUCAGAGCUCCACCAUAGGCCCACCGCAGAAGAUGGAUAAACCCAGCAUUUCAUGAACACUGUGAUGGAGACCUUUGCUUUUUUAAUUUUAGAUGUACUCAGAUAAUCCUCUACACUACUAGCAAAACCCAGUGUAAAAGAUUUUUAGAAGUUUUUAGUCUAACAUACAAGUGAUGACCUUUGACCUUCAUCAGGUUUUAUUUAAUGCUGUCAGAGAAAAUAUCAUGUCCUCUUCAUGUAGCAGAAGCUGUGCAGGUCUGAGAUCAGCAGCUUUCUGAAACACCAAACUGAGUUAUUGUUAUUAGGCUCCAGUGCAAUCUGUCAGCGUGUGGUAUUUAUAUGGGAGUAACCUGCAGAGCAAUGCUGAGGUUGUGAGUUCGAGCCUCACUUGAGGCAAUGAUGCUUUACAUAAUUUCCUUAGGGAUUGUUAAAGGAUUCUGAUAUGCUCCUAUAUAGUGGCACAGUUACAUGGAUGAUUAAUCUAUUUGUCUUUAAUUUUAUCAAUAAAACAGCUGCAGUUUUCACUGACAGCACAUGUCAUACUUUGACCUUUGUACUGUUUUCAUCUGUUAAUUUUGCAGUCAACAUGUGAACAUGUUGGAUGAUCUGUCUGCUGUCAUUGGGUGCUGCUGAGAUCUGAAUCUGAGGGCAGCUCCUGUAAUUACAAGGAGAAGAGAAUCAUCACAAACCGUGAAAUAUAACGUUUAUCCCUCUAAUCUGAAAUAGAGCUGAUCCUUCCCUGUCCUUAUCAGUUGGUCCUCACACACGUCAGGAUCUGAAGUUCUGCACUUACAUUUUUUUUAGUUCUACAAUUCUGCUGACAGCUGACAUUAGCUGUUUAUUUAAAAAAAAGACAAAGCCAUGUAUAUACUAACAGAUUUUCCAGUAUAAUCUUUACCUUUGAGAGAUGAUGGAGCAGGUUUCCAGGUUCAGUAUGCUGCUGCAUAGUGGUCACCGGCAGGAAAACAGACAAACAUACGGAGGUGUUAUCACCAGUGUUUGAGCUGCUGCAUAUUGGACAACAAAUAAUAUUAAUGCUUCAAAUCAUUCCUCUCAAAGGAUAUAAGCUGUAUGGAGUACUGCACAUGUAACUUUGAAUGAUUCUUAAUGAGGUGUUGUUGCAUUUUUUUUUAACUUGAAUAAAAACCUGAAAGUUU